Manacus vitellinus (golden-collared manakin) is the source of this 1813-nucleotide long non-coding RNA. Lineage: Eukaryota; Metazoa; Chordata; Aves; Passeriformes; Pipridae. The record is from Ensembl.
GCCCGUCCAACCAAGCCUUGGACACUUCCAGGAGCGGGGCAGCCACAGCUUCUCUGGGCAACCUGUGCCAGGGCCUCCUCACCCUCACAGGAAAGAAUUCCUUCCCAAAAUUUAAUCCAAAUUUCUCCUCUUUUAAUUUAAAACCACUUCAUCUUCUACCCUUCUCGCAAGAUUGUUCCAGUGAACUUCAGCGUGUUCAGCCUGAUCCAGGAGAUGCGCACGCAGAGGCCCUGCCUCGUGCAGACCAAGGUAUGGUUGGGAAAUCUCCCCCAUCCCAGGACCUCACCUUUUCCCCAGGAGGGUUCACAGCAUGGAAACCUGGAGUGGUUGUGCUGGUGGGAGCUGGGGCGUGAAGAUGUUCUGCAAAGUCCCUUUUCUGAACAGAAGGGUGAUUUUGCAGAAAUUAAUUUGGUAGCUGACCAUUUCCUCGUGGGCAGCUGGGACAGUGCUUGCAGAGUGACUUAUUGAAGGCUUACACUGUGAAACAAGGCACUGUCCAGGAAAUAAAGUGGGAACUUUUCUCUGCUGAGGCAGCCUGAAGAGGAAGCUUCGUGCACAGCAGCAUUGUUUGUGCACCCAAAAACCCCCCAAAUGCUUCAGUCUGAGCCCUGUGAUAGUUGUGGCUUCUGCCUCUUCUGAGAAUUCACACCCUGCCAACAGACAGGAAAGUGGCAGCUUCUCAGGGGUGAUGCUUCAUUUGGGCAGAGGUGACCAUUUACAGGGACCUCAGGUGCUGGCACUCAUGCUUAUUUGUCUGCAAUUUGUUUAUUUGUCUGGAAUGCAGGAGCAGUAUGAGUUGGUUUAUGAUGUGGUGAUUGAGCUCUUCAGAAGGAGGAUUAAAGCACUCGAUGCCCAGAAAGAUUCUGCUGAUUCCCAGGUACGAGCAGGGCCUCCUGCAGCCAAGCCAGUCCUGACUCCAGUGGAAGACAUUUAUGGUCUGAGUUUACUCACCUGGUAAGGCCACAGCACCACUGUCCCUGGGUUGGUAUUUGUCCCACUUGGACUCUCAUGUUUGUUCCUACCACAAUUCAUAGAAUCAUGGAAUUGCUAAGGUUGGAAAAGACCUCUAAGACCAUUGAGUCCAACCCUUAAUGCAGCACUGCCAGAUCCAACACUAAACCACGUCCCCAGGUGUCACAUUUACAUGGUUUUGAAACACUUCCAGGGACAGUGAUUCUACCACUUCCCUGGGCAGCAUAUUCAAAUGCCUGAUCACCCUCUCAGUGAAGAAAUUUUCCCUAAUUUCCUCCUGAUUCCUGCUCUUCUCCCUGAUGUGGCUCUGAGGCUGUCUCACCCUCUUUGCCAUCACCUGUCCCCCUGUUCUGCCCUGGGACCUGCUUCACUUUGUGCUUAUGUGAUGUUUCACAUAUGAAUUGAAAACAGUUUAAAAAUGGCUCAUGCACUUGGAAACACCCCAGAGCUGGGUCAUCCCAACCCUCUGCCUGGCAGUGUGCACCCCACAGGGUGCCCCCAGGCUGGUCCCACCUUCCCUCUGCAUGUGCUACUCUAGUGCCUCUUGCUGCAGGAAUAGCAGUCCUGAGGAGUCCAGCUUCCCAACACAGGCAGCUUCCGUGGGUGGUGGGAUCUCUGUGGGCAAGCUUUGGGUUGCAGUGUCUGCUCUCUGUAAAUAAUUUUGCUUUUUGGCACAGUUUACUGGAGUAAAGGGGCCUCCUCUGUUCACCAUUCAACCAUGUUCAAGUGGGGCACAGUCCUUCCCUGCACUCCUGGCUGCAGACUGAGCUGAGGGAAUUCCUGAGGGAAUUGCUCCUGGGAGCAAUGGGGUGGGCUUUGUUAGUAGGUUAACAGGGUUUUC